Molecule: ribosomal RNA, 618 nt
Filed under: Pachygnatha clercki
Lineage: Eukaryota; Metazoa; Arthropoda; Arachnida; Araneae; Tetragnathidae
Description: SSU rRNA
Rfam family: Eukaryotic small subunit ribosomal RNA
Source: RNAcentral
CAUGUCUAAGUUCAUGCCGUAUUAAGGCGAAACCGCGAAUGGCUCAUUAAAUCAGUUAUGGUUCCUUGGAUCGUACUUUACUACUUGGAUAACUGUGGCAAUUCUAGAGCUAAUACAUGCAGCAGAGCUCCGACGCCCCUCGGGGCGGACGAGCGCUUUUAUUAGACCAAAACCGAUCGGGGUUUACUCCGUUUCGCGUGGUGACUCUGAAUAACUUUGGGCCGAUCGCACGGGCUUCGUCCCGGCGACGUAUCCUUCAAGUGUCUGCCUUAUCAACUGUCGACGGUAGUUUAAUCGCCUACCGUGGUUUUUACGGGUAACGGGGGAUCAGGGUUCGAUUCCGGAGAGGGAGCCUGAGAAACGGCUACCACAUCCAAGGAAGGCAGCAGGCGCGCAAAUUACCCACUCCCGGCACGGGGAGGUAGUGACGAAAAAUAACGAUACGGGACUCUUUCGAGACCCCGUAAUCGGAAUGAGUACGCUCUAAAUCCGCUAACGACGAACCAUUGGAGGUAAAGUCUGGUGCCAGCAUCCGCGGUAACUCCAGCUCCAAUAGCGUAUAUUAAAGUUGUUGCGGUUAAAAAGCUCGUAGUUGGAUCUGAGUCUCUGCCCGGCGGU